CCUCCCAAAAUUUUAAUCCCUGCUUCUCGCCCGCUCCCCACGUCAAGCCAUUCAAAGAGCUCUGCUUCCAUACGCUUGAUCUGAUCGAGGAACUAAGCCCUUUUGCAGAACCUUUAGAGACUCGGUUAUUUUAUAUACCCUAGCAUAUACAAAAAUAAAAACCCUAAUUCUUUAUCCUUCCACGACAACCCUUCCUUUCCUCCCCCUCUCUAUCCUCCCACGGUAUUCUGUUGUUGAAGAUGUCGGCUCCGGCACCAGCACCUCCAGCUCUGUACGCCGGCGGUUCCCUCUGGCGGCUCAUCCGGAGAUGAUGAGAGCGGCGCACUCACACUUUAUUGGUGAUUGAAGUUUCAUUUGGUGCCACGGUUUGUUCAGAUGGCGUAUGGACAAAAGGGACGUGGUAAGAAAUACGUUCAUCAUGCAAAAGAAGAGAAGUAUGAACUAUAUCCUGAAAUCAAAGAAUUCCCUGAUGUUAAUCUCAAACAUAAAGAAGAUUUCAGUAAAUUAAUAUCAUGGGGUGAUUGCAAAAGUUUUGGGUUUCAUCUCCUUAUUAUUUGGAGGCUGCGGGUCAAGAUUCUUAAAGUAAGCAUUCUUUAUACUUAACUGUUUCCGUUUUAAAAGACUGAUAUGUAAGUUUUGGUAUAUAGUUAGAAAACACAUGGUUUGCCAUUAUAAUUUAGAAAAUACUUACCCGCUUUCACAAUUGCCCAUUUGAGUGAUGACAGCUGGUCUUCCUCCAACUAUCACCAGGUAUUUUUUGGGGGCGCAAUGGAUCAUCAAAAUCUAGUUCCACUGAGAGCUUAUUAUUACAAUAAAGAAGAGAAGCUGCUUGUCUACGAUUAUAUGCCAAUGGGAAGUCUUUCUGCACUUCUUCAUGUAUCAGUCAGAUGAGGCGUGCAUGCGUACGUACGGUGCAGUGUGGUGCUGCUGAUGAGGCGUGCGUGCGGUGUAUUCGCUGCUACUGCGUGCGGCUUUUCUGCUGCGGUAUGCGUAGAAUACAGUGCUGCUGCUGAGGCGUUCGUGUAGUGCAGUCGACACUGUUGCGUGCGGCGCUGCUGCUGCUGCGACUGUUUGAUGAGCUUGAUUAACCGCUGGCAUUAACUUUAUAUCUUUCCUCUUAAUAAAUCAAUAAUCAUAGGGAGCUUGCAAAAGAUUUUGUGGUGGCUGGUACUACAUCAGAGUCUCUGUAUGGUGCCUGUGAGUCGAUGUUCAAGCCAGACAUGGUACAAGGUGGAUAAAGAUGCUAUGCUCGAUAUGAUGUCACAAAUUGAAGCUACAUUAACAAGUACAAUUUGAAGAUAGGCUACAAACACUUGGUUUUCAAUGUUUAUCGUAUUAGGAUUUUUUAAGUUAUUUGAUGUUUUAGCUGGUAUUUCUAUUAGAAUGUUUUAUACGCUUUCGAUACACAUAUGUUUUAUAUAAUUUUGGGUUUUCGUGAUCUUA
This is an RNA transcript of Helianthus annuus (common sunflower), 1443 nucleotides long. It is a transcript of the gene named inactive leucine-rich repeat receptor-like serine/threonine-protein kinase At1g60630, with no coding region annotated. The record is from RefSeq and is a predicted model, not a curated record. NCBI's taxonomy places the organism in Eukaryota, Viridiplantae, Streptophyta, Magnoliopsida, Asterales, Asteraceae. The transcript has 5 exons.